AAAAAAAAAAAUGGCGAUGAGAUCUGUCGUUUCAUUCAGUGGACUCCGUCGUUUAACGAAAGGAGCUAAUGUAGCUCUCCGAUCAUCGGUUACCGGCCUCCGACACUUCAGUGACGGAAAAAUCCUCGGCGAAGAAGAACGUGCUCAAGAGAACAUUUACAUUCAGAAAAUGGAAAGGGAGAGGUUGGAGAAGGCAAAGCAGAAGGCAGAGCGAGAGAAAGCUGAGAAAGAGAAGGCCGAUAAGAAGGCUGGAGAAGGGGCUAACAAGAGCUGAACUGACAUCUCAAACUCUUCCUUUCAAGUUACCUUUGACAAAUAAAUGGAUAAUAACUUUGUGUUGUUGCUCUUCAUCCUUGAAUUUUUGAGCCUGUAAAACACAUUUGGUUCGAGAAUCAAACAUCAUCUUGUUUGAACCAGUUUGAUUCUGUUGGCACUGCAUUUUUUUGUAGUUUUUAUCGCAUGGUGAAACAUAAUGUAAACUCGUUGCUUGUGAUCAAG
Molecule: unclassified non-coding RNA, 498 nt
Filed under: Hevea brasiliensis (rubber tree)
Lineage: Eukaryota; Viridiplantae; Streptophyta; Magnoliopsida; Malpighiales; Euphorbiaceae
Source: RNAcentral